This 253-nucleotide ribosomal RNA is filed under the name uncultured bacterium. Its description in RNAcentral is "partial 16S ribosomal RNA". It matches the Rfam family "Bacterial small subunit ribosomal RNA", at positions 524 to 776 of the family's 1533-position model. The record is from RNAcentral.
UACGAAGGGGGCUAGCGUUGUUCGGAAUUACUGGGCGUAAAGGGCGCGUAGGCGGUGUGUCAAGUCAGGCGUGAAAGCCCCGGGCUCAACCUGGGAACUGCAUUCAAAACUGACAAGCUAGAGUAUGGUAGAGGGUGGUGGAAUUUCCUGUGUAGCGGUGAAAUGCGUAGAUAUAGGAAGGAACACCAGUGGCGAAGGCGACCACCUGGACUGAUACUGACACUGAGGUGCGAAAGCGUGGGGAGCAAACAGG